This 440-nucleotide ribosomal RNA is filed under the name uncultured bacterium. RNAcentral's name for it is "partial 16S ribosomal RNA". It matches the Rfam family "Bacterial small subunit ribosomal RNA", at positions 338 to 795 of the family's 1533-position model. The record is from RNAcentral.
CCUACGGGGGGCAGCAGUGGGGAAUAUUGCACAAUGGGGGAAACCCUGAUGCAGCGACGCCGCGUGAGUGAAGAAGUAUUUCGGUACGUAAAGCUCUAUCAGCAGGGAAGAAAAUGACGGUACCUGACUAAGAAGCCCCGGCUAACUACGUGCCAGCAGCCGCGGUAAUACGUAGGGGGCAAGCGUUAUCCGGAUUUACUGGGUGUAAAGGGAGCGUAGACGGCAGCGCAAGUCUGGAGUGAAAUCCCAUGGCUUAACCAUGGAACUGCUUUGGAAACUGUGCAGCUAGAGUGCAGGAGAGGUAAGCGGAAUGCCUAGUGUAGCGGUGAAAUGCGUAGAUAUUAGGAGGAACACCAGUGGCGAAGGCGGCUUACUGGACUGUAACUGACGUUGAGGCUCGAAAGCGUGGGGAGCAAACAGGAUUAGAUACCCCGGUAGUC